This 2618-nucleotide long non-coding RNA is filed under the name Mus spretus (western wild mouse). RNAcentral describes it as "lncRNA (ENSMSPG00010038409.1)". The record is from RNAcentral. Lineage: Eukaryota; Metazoa; Chordata; Mammalia; Rodentia; Muridae.
UUUGGGAUCAUGUGGACAUAGGCAGCAGCGAUCUCCCUGUGGAAGACCGUGUCUUGGUUGUAGGAAAUAAGUUCAUUACUGAUGUUUACCGUCUGCACGGGGGUCCGGAAGCAGAGGUGGCUGCACCCCAGCAGCUGGGCAAACACCUUCCGGAAGUCUGCAUUAAAGGCAUAGAUGAUGGGGUUGAGAGAGGAGUUGGCCCAGCCAAACCAGACGAAUAUGUCGAAGGUGGUCUCGCUGACACAAGGGAAGCCAGUCCUUGGGCCCUGGGCAUCUCCACUGCUGCAGAAGGGAACCAUACAGUUCAGGAUGAAGAAAGGCAACCAGCAGCACACGAAGACCCCCAUGAUCACGGACAGGGUUUUGAAGACCUUGGUCUCCUUCUUGAUGGAUGCUCGCAGGCUGGGGUCAGGUUCGCAGGCCCCACGGCUCCGGCAACUCUGAGCAUGCUCAGCUGCCCUCUCUAGGGAGGAGAUCCGGCGGAUCUGAACCUGUGCAAUGCGGUAGAUGCGCGUGUAGGUCACUAUCAUGAUGGCUACCGGGAUAUAGAAGCUGAUGAGCGACGAGGAGAUGGCGUAGGUUCGGUUCAGACUGGAGUCACAGUUCUCUGUUCUCCCUUCUAGCUCCCAACCUUCCUCCCAGGGUGUUUCAUUGGACAGCAGGCCCUCUCGGCCCUGGGAGCCUGCCUUGUCUCUGUGCCAAUUGAGUUGGACCGGGAUGAAGGAGAUGAGGAUGGACAAGGUCCAGGCCAGGGCCACCAUGACCAGGGCUACACGCUGGGUCAUCUUGCGCUCGUAGCGGAAGGGUCUGGAAAUAGCCCAGUACCGGUCCACGCUGAUGAUACACAGAUUCAGGAUGGAAGCAGUGGAGCACAUGAUGUCAAAGGCCACCCAGAUGUCGCAGAAUGCCCCAAAGGGCCAGUACCCGGCCACCUCAGCCACUGCCUUCCAAGGCAUGACCAGCAAUGCCACGAAGAGGUCUGAGACGGCCAGGGAUACGAUGAAGAUGUUGGUCAUUUUGGCGCGCAGGUGGCGGCUGCGGACGAUAGCAGCACACACUAGGACGUUGCCGAGCAAGGUCCAGACGAUUAGGAGAGUCAGGAGGCCAGCGGUGACCACCUGCGCGGGUCCCAGCGGGGCUGCCGAGCCCCCGGGGGCGUCCACCUGCGCCAGUUGCCUCUGCAACCCCAGCCACGCCCGAUGUGCGGUGCCAUUGCGCCCAGGAGGCAGCAUGUCGCGCUGGGUAGCUCGGGCUCACUGCGUGCGAUCCCAACUUCGUCCCUGCGCCCCGCGGAAGACCCCAUCGGGCACCCCAGAGGGUGCUCCCGGCCCUGCAGCUGACCGUCCCCAGACCCGAGGGGCGCUCACCCUGCACUGCUUGGGAUCCUUUAAUGGUAUCAGUCUUGCGCGCCUCUAGUCCCCAGGAUGGGACAGGAAGCGACCGGUGCCCGCGGGCCGAUCCUGUCGGCAGCGCGCCGGACGGCGGCUGCCGCUGCGUCUGGUUCUGAGUCGUAGAAACGCAGAGCGGCCGCCAACGGGGGCGGGGUCCAGAGUCGCGGGCACCGGGCGAUCUCUCUAGCGCGGUGGCUGCCACGGCACGCGCGCCCGCCCGCCCCUAUCAGCCACGCUUCUGCGGCCCGCGCGCCCUCCCACCUGCGUCCUGGAAUUGUGACUCUGCUGUCUUCUUCCAACUUUAGAGGCCACACACAGAUCCGAGAGUGGCCUCGGUGCCAUACCCUCGCCCCAAGCCCAGGAACUGGCUUCUCCCAAACACCAGGUGCCUCUCCUGGACCACCUCUGGGUGAAGAAGUAGAUCGCAAAGGCCACUAGACAAACCAGACUUGGAGAAUAAGGGGGUGGCCUUCGAUGUCACAACCUCAUCCCGAACCCCUAUUCUGGGUCACAGGACCCUGAAUUCUCUACUCAGCUUUUCUGGUUCUUGGUUUCUUCUCCUAGAAAGAGAGACAAAAAGGUCCCCUUCCUGAGCGCGCAAGGAUUUGAGAGAGUCACCCAGAAGGUAAUCGGGUGUUGCCUCCUGUUCCCGCUGCUUGGCCUCCUCCCAGAAGCACUUGCGCUUUGAGCAUCUCUCGGAGCCCUUGCAUCUGAACCUCCAAUACCUUUGCAUCUUUCACCUUGCUCCCAUCUUUCUGCUGGGGGAGACGGACAGACCACCUGUUCCCGUGCCAGAACGCGAACUGGACAGUCAUCCUUCACUCGUGCCUCUCCUCUCUGUGGCUGGUGGCCUUGUCUCUGAUUUCAUUAAGAUGCUUUAAAAAUCUGCAGCUCCAUCAUCCAUUGACACCCAAGCACUUGCUGAUGGGAGAGGUACAGCAAUUCACGUCAUAGAAGGACGAGGUUUGCACAGUGAAGCAAGAGAGAACAAUAUCAACCAUGGACUCCGUUUCCCAAUGUCCACAAAACUGCUGUUCAUGUCGGAGGCACAGCUACAACCUAUAGAUCUUGCUUAGGCCUUGGGGAUAAAGAGAGAACCAUAGACCUGCUCAUUCCCAUCUGGGCCUUGGCUUCUAAGAAGAGACAAAUAAUAAGAGGUUUGGACUGAGGGUGUGUCUCCGUGACAGAACAGGAGUACAUGAGGCCUGGGGUUCAAUCCACAGCACC